Oryzias latipes (Japanese medaka) is the source of this 1660-nucleotide long non-coding RNA. RefSeq lists it as uncharacterized. The record is from RefSeq and is a predicted model, not a curated record. NCBI's taxonomy places the organism in Eukaryota, Metazoa, Chordata, Actinopteri, Beloniformes, Adrianichthyidae.
UUCAUGCAGCCUUACAAGCUGAAAAUAUUUUCUUUUUUCUUGAUCUUAGUCUGCAUCAUAUUGAACAAACAGAAGCCUGGAGUAACCCGAUUUGAAUUUUAAACUGUAUCACAGCCUCACUUGACACAGAUUUCUGAUUGGUUGAUCACAGUGGGAGGGAAAACUCUGUGGUUGACGUCACCAACGGGCCGGAAUCUGCAAGCGGGAGAAGUGCAGAGAACGAGAGACUUUUGACGACCGUUUAUCGUAUUUUUUCUGCGUUUUAACAAUCCGUGGGAUGAAUCUCCAACUUUUUUUUUGCUUGUCUAGAAAAGAUUCAAGUAAAAUAUUUGAAGUUUGCACGGUGAUCUAAAUUCUACACGUGAAAAUAAGUGAAUCAGAACCCAUGUUCCUCCACACUGCCAUUAUGGAGGUCCUACCAGAGCCACAAAAGACAUCCUGGAAGAACACUUGCAGUCCAUUGGAAUAAAUGGAGUUGUAUGAGGAUCUACGAUUCAUAGAAGAGGCUGACUUGCUGCCAGCUUUGAGACCUGUUCAAGCCCGGAAACGUCUUGCUUUCUGGAAAUUGAAAUACCAAACGCCAGAGAACAGCACAUCGUCAUCUGUUGAGACCUCACCAACACAAUCAUCAUCACUUUUGUUAUUGUCACCGAGGUGUUCGUCAUCCACAUCUUCCAGAAGCUGAGGACUGUACAUACAUUGACUGGGAGGACAGCUUUGAAAUUCCAUGGAGUAAGUUUUCUGAGGAAUUUGUGCAGAGGGGAAAGAGACCUGGCCCAAGACUAAGGAAGGAAAUGGUUUGCACUCUUGUUGCGGAAAUGAUGAAAGCAAGACGGUUUUCCAGACUCUAAAAGGCUGCAGAUGAUGCGGGGAGAGCAGAGUGGCUGCUCAGAAGAGAUGAGAUGUUAAAGAGAUGCGCUUUCUUCUGCUCUGCUACUUUAAUGAGGAGGAUGCCAUGUUCUUGUAGAAGAUGCAGACGAGGUCCAGCUGCAGCAGGUGCCGUUGACUCCAACUGUUAUUUAUGUGGACAGUCUUGCUUUUCCUCAAGGAGGUUCAUGCUGAGUUGGGACCGCUCCAUCGUACACAACAACAUUGCAGCACUGUGCCUGAUGUUCAGAAGCUACUUCUGCUUUAACAGUCAUUAUCCAACUGAGCUGGCUUCAACCCUGGAGUUUCUGCAAAGCUGAUGUCCUAAGAUGUGCCACUCUACCUGGUUGGGAACAAAUUGAAGAGGCCAAGCUCAAGAAAGCCGUUGUCAGCAAAUGUAGGGCAGUGCAGGUUCUAAGGCCACUGCUAUGAUCUACAGUAUGCGGACUGGUUUCUCUUCCAUCUUUUUUCUUAUUUUUUAUCUUAAUUUGGUUCUCAAAUUGGUUCAUGGAUUUGAUAGUCUGCAAGUUUCAGAGAAUGUUUUUAUCAGGUACUUUUUUACGUGGUUACAUAAUCUUGUUUUUUUCCUUGUACCUCAGCAGUGCUGUCAGUGUGUUUGUUGUUUAAAAUCAGGAAGUUUUCUUUACCAUCAUGUCAGCCACAUUUAGUACGCCACAGUUCAUGUACUUAAUGCAUUUAAUAUUUUAAAAAAUGUGUAAUACUGCUACCACAAUUCAAAUGCUGUACUGAUGAUGGUGCUGCCCAAAUAAAGUGUAAAGCUUUUACAUUUUUA